GACGAACGCUGGCGGCGUGCCUAAUACAUGCAAGUCGAACGCAGUGGGGACGGGUGAGUAACACGUGGGUAACCUCCCAUCAGAGGGGAUAACACUUGGAAACAGGUGCUAAACCGAUACUGCUGGAUGGACCCGCGGUGCAUUAGCUAGUUGGUGAGGUAACGGCUCACCAAGGCCCCGAUGAAUAGCAGAGCGGCAAGGGUGAGAGGCAACACUGGGACUGAGAAACGGACCCGGCUCCUACGGGAGGCAGAAGUAGGGAAUCUGCGGCAAUGGACGAAAGUCUGGCCGAGCGACGCCGCGUGGUGGAAGAAGGUUUUCGGAUCGUAAAACUCUGUUGUUAGAGAAGCGGUAUCUAACCAGAAAGCCACGGCUAACUACGUGCCAGCAGCCGCGGUAAUAA
Molecule: ribosomal RNA, 403 nt
Filed under: uncultured bacterium
Lineage: Bacteria
Description: partial 16S ribosomal RNA
Rfam family: Bacterial small subunit ribosomal RNA
Source: RNAcentral